Molecule: ribosomal RNA, 253 nt
Filed under: uncultured bacterium
Lineage: Bacteria
Description: partial 16S ribosomal RNA
Rfam family: Bacterial small subunit ribosomal RNA
Source: RNAcentral
UACGUAGGGUGCAAGCGUUGUCCGGAAUUAUUGGGCGUAAAGAGCUCGUAGGCGGUCUGUCGCGUCGGAUGUGAAAAUCCAGGGCUUAACCCUGGACCUGCAUUCGAUACGGGCAGACUAGAGUUCGGUAGGGGAGACUGGAAUUCCUGGUGUAGCGGUGAAAUGCGCAGAUAUCAGGAGGAACACCGGUGGCGAAGGCGUGUCUCUGGGCCGAUACUGACGCUGAGGAGCGAAAGCGUGGGGAGCGAACAGG